This is a long non-coding RNA of Sinocyclocheilus rhinocerous, 696 nucleotides long. RefSeq lists it as uncharacterized. The record is from RefSeq and is a predicted model, not a curated record. Lineage: Eukaryota; Metazoa; Chordata; Actinopteri; Cypriniformes; Cyprinidae. The transcript is spliced from 2 exons.
GUCACUGACCACACGCCCAUGGAGACGGUGGUGGACAUCUUCCGCAAGCUGGGCUUGCGCCAGUGUCUGGUCACACGCAGCGGACGUUUGCUGGGAAUCAUUACUAAGAAGGAUGUUCUGAGACACAUGGCACAAAUGAUGAACCAGGAUCCCGGAUCCAUCAUGUUCAACUAGACUCCACUGUCCGAUCUGUUAGUAAACGCAGUAAAACGUGGCCAAAAGCGGACGGCGUGAAGAUAUACCAGUGUUUUUUACUGCUGUUUUUAUCAUAUUUAUAUUUGACAUGCAUUACUUUAAGCCGUGCUGAUCAACUGUUAAACAGGUGGGAUGAAAAUGAGGUGUUUUUGAAAGCUGCUGUAUUUGAUGUGAGAUGUGCAGAGGAGGCUAUAUUAUUAUAUUCAUUUAUUAAAAGGGUCAAAAUAGAACAAAUAAUCCAGAAUACUAAUCUGCUGUAUGAUAGUGACUGUUUCAUCCAACACUAGGUUUGUGGGAAUCAUUUCUGUUGUGUUGUUAUUUAUUAAUGUUAGUUUUUAUCUACAAGAAUGGUGAGUUUUUUUUGCUGUUGUAUUGAAACAUGAAUAUUGUCCUUGUAAAAUAAACACUGCAUCUCUGUUACAGAUAUUAAUGUUCAUCCGCUGCUCCAGUUCAGCACAUAAAAAUGAGGGUAUGUUAUAAUAAUAAAAAAAUAUUGUUAUU